AUGCUCUCUCCCAUCUCAGCCGGCCCCCGGCCCGCCUCCCCGCACGGCGAGCCGGCGGGGACACACUCCGCCCCGCAGAGCGGGGCUUUGCAGCAACGCGAGCGCCGCGGCCGCCCCCGGCUACAGCGGCCCCCGGCUACAGCUGCCGUCCCGCGGGCGCUGGGCUGGGUCGGGAGGGCGGCUGCGGUGACAGGGUCUGCGGGCGCGGGCCCAUCGGGGCCGCUCCAGGGCGGAGGCGCCGCCGCCCCGACCCCGCGCCACCGAAGCCCAACUUUGGAAGGCGAAAGAGAAAGCUGCGACGCCGCGGCUCUGCUCGGGUGCCCGUCAGCCGAGGCGGGGGAGCGGCGAGCACGGCGGCAUCACAGCCUGUACAGGGGCAGAGCGCGGCCGGGGCUGCGGCCGGGCCCCCCCGCGGGAAGCGGCAGCCCGCCCGCCGGCGCAGGCUGGGUGGCACGGCUGCAAAGCUGCUUCCAGCGCCUCAUCCUCCCCCGCCGGGGCGUCAGUGCCUCGGGCUGCUGCUGCCGCCGGCCGCACGCCGGGCGGCGGAGCGGGGCUGCCGCCGGCUCCUCCCGCCCGUCCCCCCGCGGCGGGGGCGAGCCGCCACCCGGCGCAUCUCAGAGGAGCGGCAGCAGCAGCAGGAGGGGCACGGACAGCCCCAGGAGCAGGCAGUACGGCACCAGCUCCUUCGCCCGGCUCAUCCGCAGCCGCCGCCGGGCCGCGCUCAUCCGCCCGCAGCUCCCGCGCCCAGCGCGCCCGUCCCCGGCCAGCCCCGGCGGGAGGGAGGGACGCGAUCCUCGGCUACCGCCCGGCGGGGACGGCGCAGGCGGCGGCGACCGCCCCUCCGCCGGCGAGAGGAGGCAGCUCCCCGGGGAGAACGGGGGUGGUCUCCUUCCCUCGGCCCGCCCCCGGGCUGUAAUGUUGGCCUGGCCGCGCUCACUGGUGUGCCGACGGCGAGCCCGGUCCGACAAGCCAAAACGUGCUAGAAAAACAGCCCCAAGCCCCCCCCGAAAGGCAUCGGAAAACCUCACAGCCCUGGAGGGGGCGGCGGUGGGUGGGGAAGGCCCUCAGCGAUCGGCGGUGGCGGCUGGAGGUGAGGGUGGGAUCACAUCCCACCUGGGGAGGAGCAGCCGCUGGAUCCCGUGUGAAUCGCGCGCUUGGGUCUCGGAUCCAGUCUUGGAUGGGGGGGCGGCUGAAUGCCAGGGCACUGUGUGACCGUAAAUUUAGCCCGUUGUCUUAUUACACCUCCACUUUAACUGACGAGAAGAGCUCCAGAUGAGACGGCACCGUACAAUCAUUGAGGAUAAAUCUUUUCUAUUCAUAAAUAAAUGAGAUCCAGCUGAAAAUAACUGAGAGAAGCAAGAGCUUCAGGAAUGGAUCCUGAUGUGAUACAUAAUGGAGAACAGGGCUGUGCACUGCUUUAUUUAAAAGCAGUGUGUGGGAAAACAAGGUGUGGCAAUUGCUCAGCUAGUGUCAAAUAGGACAGCAGAUCAGUGGAAAUGGAGUAGUUUAUGCCUUCUGCAAAUCAGGGCUCAUACUUUUAUUGAGCAUAAAUAUAGUCUUUCAUACUUUCAUACAAAACUUUUGCUUUUUCUCUGGUCAUCUCUUCAGGCCGUACUCUGCCUAUGGUGUAUCCUUUGUGCUCUGCAGCAAACGUUUUACUCCUUUAUUACUACCAUAGGCCUAUAGUAGCCUAUAAGAAAGGAUUUCCUAUUUCACUCUUCACCUCCCUUUAUCUGCCCUUCCUAGUUUCUUUUUACCUCCACCACUGUGUAAGAAUAUAUUCUGCUACUAAACUAUUUAAAGCUGUUUAUGUCUAAUAAGCUAUGGGGGGUUGCUGCUUGUAAAAAAUAUGAUAUUAUAAAAUAAAAUCUGCAGAAUUAGGUUUUGCAUUUUAAUUAGGUUCUUUGCAUUGCAAAGGACUUGCAGGCUUUGGAUCAAUUUCAGUUCGGUGUUCAGUAAUGCAACAUGAGAGCCAACUAGUCUGUGUGAGAUUUUAUUAUAUUGUUAUCAUAGCAACAAAUUUCUCUGGCUGCUGUAAAUAACUGAUCUCUAUUAUUGUAUAAUUUUGCUAUUUAAGAUCUCAGAGAUUCCUGUGAAUCUGAGAAGACACUUUGCUAUUCAAUCACAAAAAAUGUUUCUCUAAUAUAGUUGUCUUCUUUUCUCGUCUUUCAUUAUGUAGCAGAAAAAAUGUGUCGUGAAGACUGCUGCUCUUCUGUUCUGAUGACUGCCUGCUAAUAAAUGAUAAGCCUGAACAGCAGUUCUUGCACUUCAGCUUGUUUUUAAAGAAUGGAUUUUGUUCCAAUAAAAUGUUUAUGUUCCUUA
Taeniopygia guttata (zebra finch) is the source of this 2322-nucleotide non-coding RNA. Lineage: Eukaryota; Metazoa; Chordata; Aves; Passeriformes; Estrildidae. The record is from RefSeq and is a predicted model, not a curated record.